ACUCAACUAGUUUAAUUAAAACGUUAAAUUGUGGAUUUAAAAAUACAGACAUGUGUUGGGUC
Molecule: transfer RNA, 62 nt
Filed under: Mendozana platypleura
Lineage: Eukaryota; Metazoa; Arthropoda; Insecta; Hemiptera; Cicadidae
Description: tRNA-His
Source: RNAcentral